UAAACUGAGAGUUUGAUCCUGGCUCAGGAUGAACGCUAGCGGUGUGCCUAACACAUGCAAGUCGAACGAACCUUCAAAAUUGAGACUUCGGUUGAUUUUUUGAAUCAGUUAGUGGCAGACGGGUGAGUAAUGCAUAAGUAACCUGCCCUUAAGUCUGGGAUAACUUUUCGAAAGGAAAGCUAAUACUAGAUACGCUCUUUUUUUCGUAUGUAAGAAAGAGGAAAGUUUUUUCGCUUAAGGAUGGGCUUAUGUCUGAUUAGCUUGUUGGUAGGGUAAUGGCCUACCAAGGCUACGAUCAGUAGUUGGUCUGAGAGGAUGAUCAACCACAUUGGGACUGAGAUACGGCCCAAACUCCUACGGGAGGCAGCAGUGAGGAAUAUUGCGCAAUGGGCGAAAGCCUGACGCAGCGACACCGCGUGAGCGAUGAAGCCUUUCGGGGUGUAAAGCUCUGUCAAGAGGGAUGAUUAUGACAGUACCUCUAAAGGAAGUCACGGCUAAUUACGUGCCAGCAGCCGCGGUAAUACGUAAGUGGCAAGCGUUAUCCGGAUUUAUUGGGCAUAAAGGGCGAGCAGGUGGAUCAUUAAGUCAGAUGUUAAAGCCCACAGCCUAACUGUGGUAAGCAUUUGAAACUGAUAAUCUAGAGAAUUGUAGAGGAAAGCGGAACUCAUAGUGUAGCGGUGAAAUGCGUAGAUAUUAUGAGGAACACCAGUGGCGAAGGCGGCUUUCUGGACAAAUUCUGACACUGAAUCGCGAAAGCGUGGGGAGCGAACGGGAUUAGAUACCCCGGUAGUCCACGCCGUAAACGUUGUUCACUAAGUGUAGGAGGUAUCGACCCCUUCUGUGCUACAGAUAAUUCGUUAAGUGAACCGCCUGGGGAGUACGACCGCAAGGUUAAAACUCAAAGGAAUUGACGGGGGCCCGCACAAGCAGUGGAGCAUGUGGUUUAAUUCGAUGAUACGCGAAGGACCUUACCAGGGUUUGACAUCCGCAGAAUCCCCUAGAGAUAGGGGAGUGCCUUCGGGAAUUGCGUGACAGGUGGUGCAUGGCUGUCGUCAGCUCGUGUCGUGAGAUGUUGGGUUAAGUCCCGCAACGAGCGCAACCCCCGUCCUGUGUUGCCAGCACGUUAUGGUGGGAACUCACAGGAUACUGCCUGUAAAAAGCAGGAGGAAGGUGGGGAUGACGUCAAGUCAUCAUGCCCCUUACACCCUGGGCCACACACAUGCUACAAUGGCCGGUACAAUGGGUUGCCAAACCGCGAGGUGGAGCUAAUCUCAAAAAACCGGCCUCAGUUCGGAUUGCAGUCUGCAACUCGACUGCAUGAAGUCGGAAUUGCUAGUAAACGCAAAUCAGCUAUGUUGCGUUGAAUACGUUCCCGGGCCUUGUACACACCGCCCGUCACACCAUGAGAGUCAGAAACACCCGAAGCCGGUGUGCUAACCGCAAGGAGGCAGCCGUCGAAGGUGGGUUUGGCGAUUGGGGUGAAGUCGUAACAAGGUAGCCGUACCGGAAGGUGUGGCUGGAUCACCUCCUUUCUAAGGAG
This 1540-nucleotide ribosomal RNA is filed under the name Candidatus Marinamargulisbacteria bacterium SCGC AG-439-L15. RNAcentral describes it as "bacterial SSU rRNA". It matches the Rfam family "Bacterial small subunit ribosomal RNA". Lineage: Bacteria; Bacillati; Candidatus Margulisiibacteriota; Candidatus Marinamargulisbacteria. The record is from RNAcentral.